Molecule: ribosomal RNA, 462 nt
Filed under: uncultured bacterium
Lineage: Bacteria
Description: partial 16S ribosomal RNA
Rfam family: Bacterial small subunit ribosomal RNA
Source: RNAcentral
GACGAACGCUGGCGGCGUGCUUAACACAUGCAAGUCGAGCGGUAAGGCCUUUCGGGGUACACGAGCGGCGAACGGGUGAGUAACACGUGGGUGAUCUGCCCUGCACUUCGGGAUAAGCCUGGGAAACUGGGUCUAAUACCGGAUAUGACCUCCUAUCGCAUGGUGGGUGGUGGAAAGAUUUAUCGGUGCAGGAUGGGCCCGCGGCCUAUCAGCUUGUUGGUGGGGUAAUGGCCUACCAAGGCGACGACGGGUAGCCGACCUGAGAGGGUGACCGGCCACACUGGGACUGAGACACGGCCCAGACUCCUACGGGAGGCAGCAGUGGGGAAUAUUGCACAAUGGGCGAAAGCCUGAUGCAGCGACGCCGCGUGAGGGAUGACGGCCUUCGGGUUGUAAACCUCUUUCAGCAGGGACGAAGCGCAAGUGACGGUACCUGCAGAAGAAGCGCCGGCCAACUACGUG